RNAcentral lists this ribosomal RNA (318 nucleotides) under uncultured eukaryote. RNAcentral's name for it is "partial 18S ribosomal RNA". It matches the Rfam family "Eukaryotic small subunit ribosomal RNA", at positions 1470 to 1796 of the family's 1831-position model. The record is from RNAcentral.
CCCUUAGAUGUUCUGGGCCGCACGCGUGCUACACUGAGUGGAUCAGCGGGUCAGGUUGCGCGAAAGUGUUUCCUAAUCUUUAAAUCCGCUCGUGAUGGGGAUUGACGGUUGCAAUUUUCCGUCAUGAACGAGGAAUACCUUGUAAGCGCGGGUCAUCAUCCCGCGCUGAAUACGUCCCUGCCCUUUGUACACACCGCCCGUCGCUCCUACCGAUUGAAUGUUCCGGUGAGCUCUUCGGACUGCGCGGUCUGCAGUUUCUGCGUUCCGUGCGGAAAGUUGCGCAAACCUUAACAUUUAGAGGAAGGAGAAGUCGUAACA